RNAcentral lists this ribosomal RNA (253 nucleotides) under uncultured bacterium. RNAcentral describes it as "partial 16S ribosomal RNA". It matches the Rfam family "Bacterial small subunit ribosomal RNA", at positions 524 to 776 of the family's 1533-position model. The record is from RNAcentral.
UACGGAGGGAGCUAGCGUUGUUCGGAAUUACUGGGCGUAAAGCGCGUGUAGGCGGCAAGGCAAGUCGGAUGUGAAAGCCCGCGGCUCAACCGUGGAAGUGCACUCGAAACUGCCUAGCUAGAGUCUCGGAGAGGAAGGUGGAAUGCUUGGUGUAGAGGUGAAAUUCGUAGAUAUCAAGCAGAACACCUGUGGCGAAGGCGGCCUUCUGGACGAUGACUGACGCUGAGACGCGAAAGCGUGGGGAGCAAACAGG